ACGAACGCUGGCGGCGUGCUUCACACCUGCAAGUCGAACGGUGAAGCGCCUUCCUUUUUGGUGGGUGUGGAUGAGUGGCGAACGGGUGAGUAACACGUGAGUAACCUGCCCCCUUCUUCUGGAUAACCGCAUGAAAGUGUGGCUAAUACGGGAUAUUCUGGGUCUGUCGCAUGAUGGGUCUGGGAAAGAUAUUGUUUCGGUGGGGGAUGGGCUCGCGGCCUAUCAGCUUGUUGGUGGGGUGAUGGCCUACCAAGGCGGCGACGGGUAGCCGGCCUGAGAGGGUGGACGGUCACACUGGGACUGAGACACGGCCCAGACUCCUACGGGAGGCAGCAGUGGGGAAUAUUGCACAAUGGGCGCAAGCCUGAUGCAGCGACGCCGCGUGAGGGAUGGAGGCCUUCGGGUUGUGAACCUCUUUCGCCAGUGAAGCAGGCCUGCCUCGUUUGUGGGUGGGUUGACGGUAGCUGGAGAAGAAGCGCCGGCUAACUACGUG
RNAcentral lists this ribosomal RNA (493 nucleotides) under uncultured bacterium. Its description in RNAcentral is "partial 16S ribosomal RNA". It matches the Rfam family "Bacterial small subunit ribosomal RNA", at positions 29 to 507 of the family's 1533-position model. The record is from RNAcentral.